UGCGGAGGGAUCAUUACAGAGUUAUCCAACUCCCAAACCCAUGUGAACUUAUCUCUUUGUUGCCUCGGCGCAAGCUACCCGGGACCUCGCGCCCCGGGCGGCCCGCCGGCGGACAAACCAAAACUCUUGUUAUCUUAGUUGAUUAUCUGAGUGUCUUAUUUAAUAAGUCAAAACUUUCAACAACGGAUCUCUUGGUUCUGGCAUCGAUGAAGAACGCAGCGAAAUGCGAUAAGUAAUGUGAAUUGCAGAAUUCAGUGAAUCAUCGAAUCUUUGAACGCACAUUGCGCCCAUUAGUAUUCUAGUGGGCAUGCCUGUUCGAGCGUCAUUUCAACCCCUAAGCACAGCUUAUUGUUGGGAACCUACGGCUUCGUAGUUCCUCAAAGACAUUGGCGGAGUGGCAGUGGUCCUCUGAGCGUAGUAAUCUUUUAUCUCGCUUCUGUUAGGUGCUGCCCCCCCGGCCGUAAAACCCCCAAUUUUUUCUGGUUGACCUCGGAUCAGGUAGGAAUACCCGCUGAACUUAAGCAUAU
This 527-nucleotide ribosomal RNA is filed under the name Nigrospora sphaerica. RNAcentral's name for it is "eukaryotic LSU rRNA". The stretch from base 172 to 325 matches the Rfam family "5.8S ribosomal RNA". The record is from RNAcentral. Lineage: Eukaryota; Fungi; Ascomycota; Sordariomycetes; Amphisphaeriales; Apiosporaceae.